This 326-nucleotide unclassified non-coding RNA is filed under the name Hevea brasiliensis (rubber tree). The record is from RNAcentral. Lineage: Eukaryota; Viridiplantae; Streptophyta; Magnoliopsida; Malpighiales; Euphorbiaceae.
GAUCAUAUACUGCUUUCACAUGUUGAUAUUCUUUCCUUGAAUUCAUCUCUUCGUAUAUAAUAGUAUUGGGGUUGAAGGAAUCUUUUUAACUGCUUGCUUAUGCAUUCCUCAUAUGAAAUGAAAUGUGUUGGAAUGAGAAAGGUGACAACAAAGAAAUCACUGAAGCAAUUUCUGCAUUCUCUAUGUGAUGAUUUACUCUUUUAAUAUAGAGGUAGGUGUCAUCUUUCAUUAUCAAAUAAAUACUUUACUAAAGCUCAAAGCUCUUUCACUGUACCCAUUAAUUCAUUACAUUUAAGAAAUUCCACUCAAUAAAACAAUAUUAGUUU